UCAGGCCGGGGGCGAGCACGUAUCAUCCCAGCGUGGUCAGACCAAAAGCUGGGCGGUCCCAGCACCGCAGCCGAGGCAACAAUCCCCCCGGGUGGAAGGGGGGGGGAGCCAGACCGCACCCCAGGGAGUCCUGCACGGCCUGCCCUCCCCCUCCCCCCGCCGGCUCCCACCUCGCCCCUCCCGCGGCUCCCACCAUCGGCGCGGGUCCUGCGCGCACCCACGGCUCUGCCUCCCGAGGAGGCUGUGUGCUCACUUUGCAAAACAGAAAUUUAUAGCCCAAGUAAUUGAUCACGGUGCUCCUGCCUCCCUGCAUCCUAACUCCCUUCUCCCCGCGCCCGCUCUCCCCUCGCUUUUUUUCUCGGCGCCAUCUGUGGUGUCAGAGAGAAGGAAGCCAGAGACGGAGGGGGCGUGCUGGUCCCACGUGUGCCAGUUACAGUCACGUGAAACUGUCCCCGUCUGCACCACGGAGGCGCCGGUAACACCUGCUCGCAGGCCCCCUCCCACCCGCUGGCCUCACGGAAAGCUCAUGGGAACCUUCCAGAAAGACUGCAAAAAGCUCCUUUCACUGGCCCUGCUGAUGAGGUCCUGAGGCUGGGACCCACGGCCCAAGUCUCCGCACCCCACCCUCCAGCCCCAGCCUCCCCGCUCCAGCCAGGACUGGGCCCCCCCUGUCCUUUCUGGGUGGAGCUGGUUCCAGGACACGGGGCUCAUCUUCCCCGCUGCUCAGCCCUCGGUCCAGCUUUGUCUCUCAUCUGGGCGCCUCCUGCCAGCCCUCCCAAGGUGGUACCCAAGGCCAAGGCCGGCUCUCCCCUGCUGCGCCCCCCCCAGCUCCUCCUGUCCCCUGCAGCUCCUGGGCUGCACCGGGCAGUGCUGGCCACACCAGGGGCUGCAGGGCUGCGAGCGAUGCGGCAGCACCCAGAACAAACAGAAUUUUUUUUUGCAACUAGAGGGGGAAGCACAGAGCUAAAAAUAAAACGAACCCCUCAGUAUCUGUCA
RNAcentral lists this long non-coding RNA (996 nucleotides) under Oryctolagus cuniculus (rabbit). RNAcentral describes it as "lncRNA (ENSOCUG00000032477.1)". The record is from RNAcentral. Lineage: Eukaryota; Metazoa; Chordata; Mammalia; Lagomorpha; Leporidae.